This 119-nucleotide ribosomal RNA is filed under the name Pteropus alecto (black flying fox). The record is from RNAcentral. Lineage: Eukaryota; Metazoa; Chordata; Mammalia; Chiroptera; Pteropodidae.
GUCUACGGCCAUGCCACCCUGAACAAGUCUGAUCCCAUCUGAUCUCAGAAGCUAAACAGGGUCAGACCUGGUUACUACUUGGAUGGGAAACCACCUAGGAAGAUCAGGUGCUGAAAAAA